Molecule: ribosomal RNA, 301 nt
Filed under: uncultured bacterium
Lineage: Bacteria
Description: partial 16S ribosomal RNA
Rfam family: Bacterial small subunit ribosomal RNA
Source: RNAcentral
CAGCCGCCGCGGUAAUACGAAGGGUGCAAGCGUUAAUCGGAAUUACUGGGCGUAAAGCGUGCGUAGGCGGUGAGUUAAGUCUGCUGUGAAAUCCCCGGGCUCAACCUGGGAAUGGCAGUGGAUACUGGCUCGCUAGAGUGUGUCAGAGGAUGGUGGAAUUCCCGAUGUAGCGGUGAAAUGCGUAGAGAUCGGGAGGAACAUCAGUGGCGAAGGCGGCCAUCUGGGACAACACUGACGCUGAGGCACGAAAGCGUGGGGAGCAAACAGGAUUAGAUACCCGGGUAGUCCCUGUCUCUUAUAC